AUAAUGAUACUUCCGCCUUCGGGCGGCUCGGUGAGAACCACGGAGAGGUGAGAUUCCUAUGG
This 62-nucleotide non-coding RNA is filed under the name unclassified sequences. The record is from Rfam.